RNAcentral lists this long non-coding RNA (561 nucleotides) under Mytilus galloprovincialis (Mediterranean mussel). The record is from RNAcentral. Lineage: Eukaryota; Metazoa; Mollusca; Bivalvia; Mytilida; Mytilidae.
CGUCCGGCGUCCGUCGUCGUCGUUAACUUUUACAAAAAUCUUCUCCUCUGAAACUACUGGGCCAAAUUUAACCAAACUUGGCCACAAUCAUCAUUGGGGUAUCUAGUUUAAAAAAUGUGUGGCGUGACCCGGCCAACCAACCAAGAUGGCCGCCAUGGCUAAAAAUAGAACAUAGGGGUAAAAUGCAGUUUUUGGCUUAUAACUCAAAAACCAAAGCAUUUAGAGCAAAUCUGACUGAGAUACAAUUGUUAAUCAGGUCAACAUCUAUCUGCCCUGAAAUUUUCAGAUGAAUCGGACAACCUGUUGUUGGGUUGCUGCCCCUGAAUUGGUAAUUUUAUGGAAAUUUUGCUGUUUUUGGUUAUUAUCUUGAAUAUUAUUAUAGAUAGAGAUAAACUGUAAACAGCAAUAAUGUUCAGCAAAGUAAGAUUUACAAAUAAGUCAACAUGGCCUAAAUGGUCAGUUGACCCCUUUAGGAAUUAUUGCCCUUUAUAGUCAAUUUUUAACCAUUUUUCGUAAAUCUUAGUAAUCUUUUACAAAAAUCUUCUCCUCUGAAACUACGGG